Molecule: long non-coding RNA, 681 nt
Organism: Gossypium raimondii (Peruvian cotton)
Lineage: Eukaryota; Viridiplantae; Streptophyta; Magnoliopsida; Malvales; Malvaceae
Exons: 2
Source: RefSeq, a predicted model, not a curated record
AUCGAUAGAUUUUCUUGAUGAUCUCCCCGUUUCGCUGACCAAAAAUCUACCCAGCAGAAUUAAUGUCAUCUCAAAGCAAGGAAAAUCCAAUGUUUUUGUCGAAAAAAUAGAAGUUACGACCCUAAAUUCUGAUUGCCACUCGGUCAUAAAAUUUGUUGAAAUUAGAAACCCCAAUAAUUCCAAAGGUAAUCAACCUAUUAAUAUUUCUUCACGAACACAAGAUGAAAGAAAUGUUGGUUCAGAUACAUUGAAAAUGGGAGAUACUAAACGUCCAAGGAAAGACUCCCAUAUUCUUCAGGGUAAAAGGAAGUAAAUUUAAGGUUAGGGCUAAUUCUUGUGAAUCGGUUGUUGAAGCGAUGUCAAAGGUGGUUGAAAAAACUGGGUCUAACAGUCUAAUUAUGGAUUCAAGUUAUGGACAAGGGGCUUUGACGAAUCUCAGUGAGGUGGCUACCCUAGAUGUUUAAGAUAAAUUUCAGGCGUAAAGAGUCGAGAAGCGAGUGUAAGGGUGAUCCAAGAAUAAGGCUCGGUACUGGCUUAAGAAAUUCACUUUAGAGACUAUAUAGGGGUAUUGUGAUGCUUUUGGGACUAGUGUUAUUUUACUUGUAAUGGACAUUGUACAUUAAAUUUUGGAAUUUAAUUUUGGUGAUUUUAUAUUACUUUAAUACAUGAUUUUAUGUCUAA